GACGAACGCUGGCGGCGUGCCUAACACAUGCAAGUUGAGCGACGAACCAGGGCUUGCCCUGGGGCAAAGCAGCGAACGGGUGAGUAACACGUGGGUAACCUACCCCGAUAACCGGGACAACCCGAGGAGACUCGGGCUAAUACCGGAUGUGCUCACUGGACUUCGGUUCAGUGCGUAAAGGAAGCUUCGGCCUCCGUAUCGGGAGGGGCCCGCGGCCCAUUAGUUUGUUGGUGAGGUAACGGCUCACCAAGACCGCGAUGGGUAGCUGGUCUGAGAGGACGAUCAGCCACACUGGGACUGAGACACGGCCCAGACUCCUACGGGAGGCAGCAGUGGGGAAUCUUGCGCAAUGCGCGAAAGCGUGACGCAGCAACGCCGCGUGGGGGAAGAAGGCCUUCGGGUUGUAAACCCCUUUCAGGAGGGACGAAGGUUCGGCGGUGAAUAGCCGUCCGGACUGACGGUACCUCCACAAGAAGCCCCGGCUAACUACGUG
RNAcentral lists this ribosomal RNA (493 nucleotides) under uncultured bacterium. Its description in RNAcentral is "partial 16S ribosomal RNA". It matches the Rfam family "Bacterial small subunit ribosomal RNA", at positions 28 to 507 of the family's 1533-position model. The record is from RNAcentral.